CCUCGUCUAUUUUAGACCCCACGCACAAGCUCAUCUGGCUCUGCUCUCAUGCAGCACGGUGUCUCAUUGUGGUGAUGGUGAUAGUGCGUGAUAUGCUUUCGGAUCUUUUUUUUAUUUUAUUUUUUAAAUUAAUGGGUUAAUCUAGUAUUAUUUAAAAAUAUUUGAAACUCUUUUUCAUUAGAUUUAUCACUAAUACAUGACUACUUAAAACCGCUCAAUGGUAGCAAUGGAUUGGCUUUCUUGGCAAUGUCUUUAGACGGUUAUAGCUUACGUCAUG
RNAcentral lists this long non-coding RNA (277 nucleotides) under Elaeis guineensis (African oil palm). RNAcentral describes it as "long non-coding RNA (EGUI_LNC003926)". The record is from RNAcentral. Lineage: Eukaryota; Viridiplantae; Streptophyta; Magnoliopsida; Arecales; Arecaceae.